This 629-nucleotide long non-coding RNA is filed under the name Medicago truncatula (barrel medic). RNAcentral describes it as "lncRNA gene3186". Lineage: Eukaryota; Viridiplantae; Streptophyta; Magnoliopsida; Fabales; Fabaceae. The record is from RNAcentral.
UAAUUAGUGAGAACUCUUAUUUUACUAAGUUACUAGUGUAGUGAUUAGUUUUUACCGUUAGUGACCGUUGGUUACAUUUUACCGUUAUUAAUUAAAAUAUCGUUUGGAGUGUAGUAAUAUUUUUGGUUUGAAUAGAAAUGGAUUAAGCCCACUAGAAACUAAGUUAAGCCCAUUAGUGGAGAUAACACUAGGGUUGUGUUAGAAGAAUCAAUUCAUUCAUUUCACAAAAAUAUUUCUAGAGAGAGGUAGAGAGAGAAAGAGGUGAAGAGAAGAGCAAAAGGGUUUUGCAGAGAAGAGCUUUAGGAAUCAAGUGGGUGACUUAGGAGCUGAAUUAAAGUAAGAGUUUGGGUUAAUCUUCUUCUAAGACGUUGUGCAGGAGUAGUGCUCGGUGAGUCUUUCCGUGGGAUAUCGGGAGCUUUCUCCGAUAUCGGGUUGUGUCGGCUCUGAUCUAGGCUUGUCGUGUCGGUCUAGAUUAGGUUGUUUGUAUCUUCCGUUGGAUUAUGAUUUUGUUGAUGACUACCCGUAUGUUUGGGUUUUGAGAUUUAUCUUUGAGACAUGAUUUAUUUGUUCAUGGCAUGUAUAUAUUUGAUCACUCUGAUUUGUAUUCCGUUGUAACUGUUGAGACGUAA